This 577-nucleotide ribosomal RNA is filed under the name Pediococcus cellicola. RNAcentral describes it as "bacterial SSU rRNA". It matches the Rfam family "Bacterial small subunit ribosomal RNA", at positions 8 to 537 of the family's 1533-position model. The record is from RNAcentral. Lineage: Bacteria; Bacillati; Bacillota; Bacilli; Lactobacillales; Lactobacillaceae.
AGAGUUUGAUCCUGGCUCAGGAUGAACGCUGGCGGCGUGCCUAAUACAUGCAAGUCGGACGCACUUUCGUUAAAUGAAUUAGAGAUGCUUGCAUCGAAGAUGAUUUUAACUAUAAAGUGAGUGGCGAACGGGUGAGUAACACGUGGGUAACCUGCCCAGAAGCGGGGGAUAACACCUGGAAACAGAUGCUAAUACCGCAUAAUAACGAAAACCGCAUGGUUUUCGUUUAAAAGAUGGCUUCGGCUAUCACUUCUGGAUGGACCCGCGGCGUAUUAGCUAGUUGGUGAGAUAAUGGCUCACCAAGGCAGUGAUACGUAGCCGACCUGAGAGGGUAAUCGGCCACAUUGGGACUGAGACACGGCCCAGACUCCUACGGGAGGCAGCAGUAGGGAAUCUUCCACAAUGGACGCAAGUCUGAUGGAGCAACGCCGCGUGAGUGAUGAAGGCUUUCGGGUCGUAAAACUCUGUUGUUGGAGAAGAACGUGUGUGAGAGUAACUGCUCAUGCAGUGACGGUAUCCAACCAGAAAGCCACGGCUAACUACGUGCCAGCAGCCGCGGUAAUACCGUAAGUGGGCA